RNAcentral lists this non-coding RNA (32 nucleotides) under Mus musculus (house mouse). Lineage: Eukaryota; Metazoa; Chordata; Mammalia; Rodentia; Muridae. The record is from RNAcentral.
UCGGUGGUGCUGUCUCCUCUCAUUUUAUAAGU